This 253-nucleotide ribosomal RNA is filed under the name uncultured bacterium. RNAcentral's name for it is "partial 16S ribosomal RNA". It matches the Rfam family "Bacterial small subunit ribosomal RNA", at positions 524 to 776 of the family's 1533-position model. The record is from RNAcentral.
UACGUAGGGUGCAAGCGUUAAUCGGAAUUACUGGGCGUAAAGAGUGCGUAGGCGGAUAUAUAAGUUAGAUGUGAAAUUCCCGAGCUUAACUUGGGGACUGCAUUUAAGACUGUAUAUCUAGAGUCUAUUAGAGGGGGGUAGAAUUCCAAGUGUAGCAGUGAAAUGCGUAGAUAUUUGGAGGAAUACCAAUGGCGAAGGCAGCCCCCUGGGAUAAGACUGACGCUGAGGUACGAAGGCGUGGGUAGCAAACAGG